AUUGAACGCUGGCGGCAGGCCUAACACAUGCAAGUCGAGCGCGGCGCGCGGGGGAGAAAAAUGUAUGGGACACUCCGUUAUGGAGGGGGAAAACUACGGGAAACGGUAGAUAAUACCGCAUACCAUUGUCUUGGCCCAGAUGGUAGUAGGUAGUAGGUGGGGUAAAGGCUCACCUAGGAGACGAUCCCUAGCUGGUCUGAGAGGAUGACCAGCCACACUGGAACUGAGACACGGUCCAGACUCCUACGGGAGGCAGCAGUGGGGAAUAUUGCACAAUGGGCGCAAGCCUGAUGCAGCCAUGCCGCGUGUAUGAAGAAGGCCUUCGGGUUGUAAAGCACUUUCAGCGGGGAGGCGUUACCCGCAGAAGAAGCACCGGCUAACUCCGUGCCAGCAGCCGCGGUAAUAC
This 406-nucleotide ribosomal RNA is filed under the name uncultured bacterium. Its description in RNAcentral is "partial 16S ribosomal RNA". It matches the Rfam family "Bacterial small subunit ribosomal RNA", at positions 30 to 526 of the family's 1533-position model. The record is from RNAcentral.